CGGGAAGGAGGGGGCUAGUGUGUGCAGGAUCAGCGCGAGGAAAGUUUCUUUCUACGCGCUAGAAACAUCAUAAAAGCAACGCUUUGCCGCCUGACCUGAGGCACUUGAAGUACAACAGUGGAGACGAGCCUUGCUGUGGAAUCACUUCUACCUCAAGCGGGAUGUUUGUUUUGAUUCCAGACCUCCGCUGCCUUGCGCCCAUAUCCACUCAUGGGAACGGCUUCAGGAUUAAACCGAGGACAAAUCCGGAGCUGGAGUCCCUAAGUCAGUCCGAUGUUGCUUUCAACCUCGCUCUGGUAACUCCUGCGACGAUACCGGUGCCAAGCUGUAUCGGCCCUUGCCCUUCCCUUGGACAACAUCCGUGGCAUGGAGAGGGGAGACUUGCUGCAUGGGCAACAGCCGGUCUUCCAUACAACCUUGCUCAGGCCUGUGCCCUGGAGAAGUCUUUCCAGGAGCAGAUCCAUGGUCUCACAAGACUAACAGAUGCCAUACAUACACUCACUGGCCACUUUAUUAGGUGCACCAUUACACCUGCGUGUUAAUGCAAAUAUCUAAUCAGCCAAUCAUAUGGCAGCUAAUCAAUUCAUAAAGACAUGCAGACAUAGUGAAGAAGUUCUGUUGUUGUUCAAACCAAACAUCAGAAUGGGGAAGAAAUGUGAUCUAAGUGAAUUUGACUGUGGAAUAAUUGCUGAUGACAGAUGAGGUGAUUUGAGUAUCUCGGAAACUGCUGAUCUCCUGGAAUUUUCAUGCAGAACUGUCUCUAGAGUUCUCAGAGAAUGGUGCAAAAACAAAAACAUGCAGCGAGCAGAAGUUCAGGGGCAAAAAACCCUUGUUAAUGAGAGAGGUCAGCCCAUCUAGUCUGUGUCAAACUAUGAUACUGCCUCGUCCCAUCUCCCUUUACCUGAACUGUAGCCCUCCAUACACCUCCCAGAAGAAAAGUUUUAAGAGGAAAGGAGAAAAUUCUCCUUUCUCUUAAAUGUUGAAUUCAAAUGUGCAUGCAUCACUUCUGCUGGCAGAUCUCACCACCCCCUAACUGAAGAAGUUCCCCUUCAUUUGCCUUAAACACAUCAUCUUUCACCCUUAACCCAUGACCUCAAAUUCUUGUCUCACCCAACCUCAGUGGCAAAAAUCCAUUUGCAUUCACCCUGUCUAUACACUCUUUGUGUUGUAUUCAGUGAAUAUUAAUAAAUAACAUGUUUGAGAGUUGUUGGCAGGACAGUCCGAAGGAUGGAACAUUGUCCCUGGGAACGUUCUGUAACCUGCACCUUCGACUCUCUGACGACUGGAUGCACUGUGAAUGUGUCCGAUGUCAAGUCCUGGGCCAUCAGCCGAGUAGCAGAGAACUGCUUUAACACUUGAAAAAAAGUAGGAAAUUAUAAACAGCGUGGAUCAGAUGAAGGUAACACAGCUCUGGGAUGCUACUGCUGGGAACAGAAUCUUGCCUUUAAAGUUCUUUUGUUUCUUGUCAAUGCGCCAGCCCAUCCUAAACAUUUGUACAACAUUCAUCCUAACAUAACAGUGCCUUUCCUGCUGCCUAACACAUCGCUGAUUCAACCACUCGACCAAGGUGUGAUCCACAUUCAAGGCAUAUUUUUUUUACAGCGAACUAUCUUUCAGAUGCUGCAAGCAAUAGACGAUUUUGAAAAUCCCUGGAGUUUACCGACAGUGAGGGAGUGGUGGAAGUCAGAACACUUGGCACAAAUGGCGAUGGACAUGGACCCAAGUUUAGAACGGAGUCAGCGUUUCAGUCGUUCCCUGCCAUCAACCCUUCUUCCCCACAAGCAAAUUUAUGCUGAAAAACAAAAUGCUGCCAAGCAAACAACCCUCACCAUCUUUCUUCAAACCGGUGUCAUCCCCUGCUGCUGGCAGUUCUCAGAGUUCUGUGAGUCUUCCUUCACCCCUUGCUGUGCUUGAUGACCCUGACAACCACAAUCAUCCAUGAUGUAAAGCUGCCGGACACCACCACAACCACUCAUCUCCCGGAGCAAACACAACUGCCACUGUUGGAUCGUGUGUUAUAAGUUUUGCUCCAGUACCAAGAUCUACCGUGAAACUCCAUCUCUCCAUGUUCAAGGCUCUGUGUCAAGAUUCCUCCUGUUUGAAGUUCAACGCUCACGCCCGUGUUUCUUUUGAAGACCCUGACCUGGAGUUACACGUUGACUACGGUUCUUUGUGGGAAUGGGACCCACUCUUGGGGUUUCACGACUGGCCGUUGUUCGGCACGCCAAGAGCGCAGCUUAAGAGCUUAGCUCACUUUCGGAGGGCCGAGAUUUCGUGGCUCUGAAGUCGGGCGGAUCGAAGGUCGGUCUCAGGACAGUGAGAGAAUUGGAUAAAUAACUGGCGGAGAAGAAUUUGCAGGACUACAAACGGUGCAGAGAAUUGGAAAACUGCUCUAGCAGAAAGCCAGCAGGGACAUGAUGGGCCAAAUAGCCUUCUUCUGUGUUGUAAGUAUUCAAUGAUUUUAUUUUCUAGCUUCUUAAUGUUGUCUCUUUGGGGGAUGGAAGUUCUUGUUUACCUAAACUUGAUCAACAUCAAUUUGAUCAAAACAAGAAUUAAAGGAUUCUCUGUAAAGCCUUGGAGAACUAGGCACACCACGACUACGUAAAUGACAUUAGUUCAAUGAACAGGAACAAUCACACAAAGUUUAUGCUUGCCAGCCUAUUAGCUUCUAUAACUGAGAGCUAUGUCCUGUUUAAUUCUAUCUAUUAGUGAAAUGGCUCAUGGUGGAUUUUGAAACCUGUUAGGGGUACUCUGUGCUGCUUUGGAGCCAUGAACUCCAUAUGCAUCCAAAACGAAGCUGACAUAAACUGAAAAGUAUGAGCUGCAAGACCAGUGCAAGUCUGCAUGCCUUUAGUGCCUUUCCCUGUUGUGAAAUGUCUUUGCUGCAGGAGUUUCCAAUAACUGCUCCAUCACUGCUGGUACUGCCUCAGUGCAGUCACAGCAACCCCUCUCCCCGUAUAAAUAAGACCACACAGGUUCAUCACAGAGAUCAGUCAGUAAGGCAAAUUCCAUGGAGAUGGUGUCAAUAGCGCUUCUCGACAGGAUUUCAUACUGAGUAUACACAUAUAUGGACCACUGCCACAGGAGAGCAGCAUUCAUCAUCAAGGUCCAUACUUCCCAGGCCAUGCUUGCUUCUUGCUGCUGCAGUUAGGAAGGAGGUGCAGAAACCUCAAGACACACCAGCAGUUUCAAGGACAGUUAUUACCCCUUGACCAACAGGAUCUUGAAAAAGAGGAAAUAACUUCACACACUUCUCUUACCCCAACACUGAACUGUUCUCACAACUUAUGGACUCACUUUCAAAUAUUCUUCAUCUCAAGUUCUCAAUAUGUUUUGCUUAGUUAUUAUUGUUGCUGCACUUUUUUUAUUUUUUUUUCUCAGCUCCAGCUGGUAAAACCUGAGGAACAGACAAAGCUAAACACGCUCAUGUCUCAGUUGCUAGGAGCCGUCAGAUUAUUGUAGUGGUGUUUAGCAUUUUACAUAGAUAUUGUUCUGUAGCCCUAAUUGUUCAAUGCUGUGGUGUAGUGACCUUGAGAUGGUAUCAUUUGUAGAUAUUAUUAGGACAAUGAAUACCCUGUUCAUGUUCCAUAGUCUUGAAAUUUCCUUUUUUAAUACAGCAUUUUUCUGGUGUUUUUACUUACAGAUUUCUGUAUAUGUGCGUGAGAUGGCUAUAUUUAUGAAGUAAGCUGUUCUUACU
Long non-coding RNA from Hypanus sabinus (Atlantic stingray), 3697 nucleotides. RefSeq lists it as uncharacterized. The record is from RefSeq and is a predicted model, not a curated record. NCBI's taxonomy places the organism in Eukaryota, Metazoa, Chordata, Chondrichthyes, Myliobatiformes, Dasyatidae. The transcript has 7 exons.